UGAAUUGUGGACAGAUUUGUGCUGAUUGCAACCACAUUAAAAAAUGCUAAAACAGUAACU
Schleiferia thermophila str. Yellowstone is the source of this 60-nucleotide non-coding RNA. The record is from Rfam. NCBI's taxonomy places the organism in Bacteria, Pseudomonadati, Bacteroidota, Flavobacteriia, Flavobacteriales, Schleiferiaceae.